UACGUAGGGGCAAGCGUUAUCCGGAUUUACUGGGUGUAAAGGGAGCGCAGACGGCAGUGCAAGUCUGAUGUGAAAGCCCGGGGCUCAACCCCGGAACUGCAUUGGAAACUGUACAGCUUGAGUGUCGGAGAGGUAAGCGGAAUUCCUAGUGUAGCGGUGAAAUGCGUAGAUAUUAGGAGGAACACCGGUGGCGAAGGCGGCUUACUGGACGAUUACUGACGUUGAAGCUCGAAAGCGUGGGGAGCAAACAGGAUUAGAUACCCCCGUAGUCCCUGA
RNAcentral lists this ribosomal RNA (276 nucleotides) under uncultured prokaryote. RNAcentral describes it as "partial 16S ribosomal RNA". It matches the Rfam family "Bacterial small subunit ribosomal RNA", at positions 524 to 800 of the family's 1533-position model. The record is from RNAcentral.